RNAcentral lists this ribosomal RNA (473 nucleotides) under uncultured bacterium. RNAcentral describes it as "bacterial SSU rRNA". It matches the Rfam family "Bacterial small subunit ribosomal RNA", at positions 28 to 507 of the family's 1533-position model. The record is from RNAcentral.
GAUGAACGCUAGCUACAGGCUUAACACAUGCAAGUCGAGGGGCAGCGCAGUGUAGCAAUACAUGGGCGGCGACCGGCGCACGGGUGCGUAACGCGUAUCCAACCUUCCCGUUACUCAGGGAUAGCCUUCCGAAAGGGAGAUUAAUACCUGAUGGUGUUCAAAUUCCGCAUGUUAUUUGAAUUAAGAUUAAUCGGUAACGGAUGGGGAUGCGUGACAUUAGAUAGUAGGCGGGGUAACGGCCCACCUAGUCUACGAUGUCUAGGGGUUCUGAGAGGAAGGUCCCCCCACACUGGAACUGAGACACGGUCCAGACUCCUACGGGAGGCAGCAGUGAGGAAUAUUGCACAAUGGGGGAAACCCUGAUGCAGCAACGCCGCGUGAGGGAAGACGGUUUUUCGGACUUGGUAAACCUCUGUCCUCUGUGAAGAGAAAGUGACGGUAGCAGAGGAGGAAGUCCACGGGCUAACUACGUG